Molecule: ribosomal RNA, 489 nt
Filed under: uncultured bacterium
Lineage: Bacteria
Description: partial 16S ribosomal RNA
Rfam family: Bacterial small subunit ribosomal RNA
Source: RNAcentral
GAUGAGCGCUAGCGGGAGGCCUAACACAUGCAAGCCGAGCGGGAUUUGUUGGUUAGCUUGCUAACUAACAAUGAGAGCGGCGUACGGGUGCGUAGCACGUGUGCAACCUGCCUUUAUCUGGGGGAUAGCCUUUCGAAAGGAAGAUUAAUACCCCAUAACAUAUUGAUUGGCAUCAGUUAAUAUUGAAAGCUCCGGCGGAUAGAGAUGGGCACGCGUAAGAUUAGCUAGUUGGUGAGGUAACGGCUCACCAAGGCUGCGAUCUUUAGGGGGCCUGAGAGGGUGAUCCCCCACACUGGUACUGAGACACGGACCAGACUCCUACGGGAGGCAGCAGUGAGGAAUAUUGGACAAUGGGUGAGAGCCUGAUCCAGCCAUCCCGCGUGAAGGACUAAGGACCUAUGGUUUGUAAACUUCUUUUAUACAGGGAUAAACCUACUCUCGUGAGGGUAGCUGAAGGUACUGUAUGAAUAAGCACCGGCUAACUCCGUG